RNAcentral lists this ribosomal RNA (484 nucleotides) under uncultured bacterium. RNAcentral's name for it is "partial 16S ribosomal RNA". It matches the Rfam family "Bacterial small subunit ribosomal RNA", at positions 30 to 507 of the family's 1533-position model. The record is from RNAcentral.
AUUGAACGCUGGCGGCAGGCCUAACACAUGCCAGUCGAGCGGACGAAGGGAGCUUUCUCCCGGAUUCAGCGGCGGACGGGUGAGUAAUGCCUAGGAAUCUGCCUGGUAGUGGGGGAUAACGCCCGGAAACGGGCGCUAAUACCGCAUACGUCCUGAUGGUGAAAGUGGGGGAUCUUCGGACCUCACGCUAUCAGAUGAGCCUAGGCCGGAUUAGCUAGUUGGUAGGGUAAGGGCCUACCAAGGCGACGAUCCGUAACCGGUCUGAGAGGAUGAUCAGUCACACUGGAACUGAGACACGGUCCAGACUCCUACGGGAGGCAGCAGUGGGGAAUAUUGGACAAUGGGCGAAAGCCUGACCCAGCCACGCCGCGUGUGUGAAGAAGGUCUUCGGAUUGUAAAGCACUUUAAGUUGGGAGGAAGGGCAGUAAGUUAAUACCUUGCUGUUUUGACGUUACCAAAAGAAUAAGCCCCGGCUAACUUCGUG